AGCCCCGAGGUGUUAUUACAUGUUAGACUGCAAACCUAAAGAAGCAGGGUAAAACCUGCCGGGGCUU
This 67-nucleotide transfer RNA is filed under the name Oxymonacanthus longirostris (harlequin filefish). RNAcentral's name for it is "tRNA-Cys". It matches the Rfam family "tRNA". From Rfam's summary of the family: Transfer RNA (tRNA) molecules are approximately 80 nucleotides in length. Their secondary structure includes four short double-helical elements and three loops (D, anti-codon, and T loops). The record is from RNAcentral. Lineage: Eukaryota; Metazoa; Chordata; Actinopteri; Tetraodontiformes; Monacanthidae.